GACGAACGCUGGCGGCGUGCUUAACACAUGCAAGUCGAACGGUGAAGCUCCAGCUUGCUGGAGUGGAUCAGUGGCGAACGGGUGAGUAACACGUGAGCAACCUGCCCCUGACUCUGGAAUAAGCGCUGGAAACGGCGUCUAAUACUGGAUACGAGAAGGGUCCGCAUGGGCACUUUCUGGAAAGUUUUUCGGUUGGGGAUGGGCUCGCGGCCUAUCAGCUUGUUGGUGAGGUAAUGGCUCACCAAGGCGACGACGGGUAGCCGGCCUGAGAGGGCGACCGGCCACCCUGGGCCUGAGACACGGACCAGACUCCUACGGGAGGCAGCAGUGGGGAAUAUUGCACAAUGGGCGAAAGCCUGAUGCAGCGACGCCGCGUGAGGGAUGACGGCCUUCGGGUUGUAAACCUCUUUCAGCAGGGAAGAAGCGAAAGUGACGGUACCUGCAGAAGAAGCACCGGCUAACUACGUG
Molecule: ribosomal RNA, 468 nt
Filed under: uncultured bacterium
Lineage: Bacteria
Description: partial 16S ribosomal RNA
Rfam family: Bacterial small subunit ribosomal RNA
Source: RNAcentral